This 440-nucleotide ribosomal RNA is filed under the name uncultured bacterium. RNAcentral describes it as "partial 16S ribosomal RNA". It matches the Rfam family "Bacterial small subunit ribosomal RNA", at positions 338 to 795 of the family's 1533-position model. The record is from RNAcentral.
CCUACGGGUGGCAGCAGUAGGGAAUAUUGCUCAAUGGUGGAAACCCUGAAGCAGCAAAGCCGCGUGGAGGAUGAAGGUUUUCGGAUUGUAAACUCCUUUUGUUAGAGAAGAUAAUGACGGUAUCCAACGAAUAAGCACCAGCCAACUCCGUGCCAGCAGCCGAGGUAAUACGGCGGGAGCAAGCGUUACGCGGAAUGACUGGGCGUAAACGGCGCGUAGGCGGGAUAGCAAGUCAGAUGGGAAAUCCUAUGGCUUAACCCUAGCACUGCAUUUGAAACUGGUAGUCGCGAGUAUGGGAGAGGCAGGUGGAAUUCGUGGUGUAGCGGUGAAAUGCGUAGAUAUCACGAAGAACACUGAUUGCGAAGGCAGCAUGCUGGAGCGUAACUGACGCUGAUGCGCGAAAGCGUGGGUAGCGAACAGGAUUAGAUACCCGAGUAGUC